CCCUUAGAUGUCCGGGGCCGCACGCACGCUACACUGAAGGAAUCAGCGUGGCUUUCUCCCUGACCCGAAAGGGUUGGGAAACCCGUUGAAUCUCCUUCGUGAUAGGGAUUGGGGCUUGAAAUUGUUCCCCAUGAACGAGGAAUUCCCAGUAAGCGCGAGUCAUAAGCUCGCGUUGAUUACGUCCCUGCCCUUUGUACACACCGCCCGUCGCUACUACCGAUUGAGCGGUUUAGUGAGGGCCUCGGAUUGGUCUCGGCCCGCUCUUUACCGGGCGGCGCCGUUGGUCGAGAAGACGCUCGAACUUGAUCGUUUAGAGGAAGUAAAAGUCGUAACA
Molecule: ribosomal RNA, 334 nt
Filed under: uncultured eukaryote
Lineage: Eukaryota
Description: partial 18S ribosomal RNA
Rfam family: Eukaryotic small subunit ribosomal RNA
Source: RNAcentral